RNAcentral lists this ribosomal RNA (548 nucleotides) under uncultured bacterium. RNAcentral's name for it is "bacterial SSU rRNA". It matches the Rfam family "Bacterial small subunit ribosomal RNA", at positions 355 to 896 of the family's 1533-position model. The record is from RNAcentral.
UGGGGAAUUUUGGACAAUGGGCGCAAGCCUGAUCCAGCAAUGCCGCGUGAGUGAAGAAGGCCUUCGGGUUGUAAAGCUCUUUUGUCAGGGAAGAAACGGCGCCGGCUAAUAUCCGGCGCUAAUGACGGUACCUGAAGAAUAAGCACCGGCUAACUACGUGCCAGCAGCCGCGGUAAUACGUAGGGUGCAAGCGUUAAUCGGAAUUACUGGGCGUAAAGCGUGCGCAGGCGGUUUUGUAAGUCUGUCGUGAAAUCCCCGGGCUUAACCUGGGAAUUGCGAUGGAGACUGCAAGGCUAGAAUCUGGCAGAGGGGGGUAGAAUUCCACGUGUAGCAGUGAAAUGCGUAGAGAUGUGGAGGAACACCGAUGGCGAAGGCAGCCCCCUGGGUCAAGAUUGACGCUCAUGCACGAAAGCGUGGGGAGCAAACAGGAUUAGAUACCCUGGUAGUCCACGCCCUAAACGAUGUCUACUAGUUGUCGGGUCUUAAUUGACUUGGUAACGCAGCUAACGCGUGAAGUAGACCGCCUGGGGAGUACGGUCGCAAGAUUA